Molecule: ribosomal RNA, 253 nt
Filed under: uncultured bacterium
Lineage: Bacteria
Description: partial 16S ribosomal RNA
Rfam family: Bacterial small subunit ribosomal RNA
Source: RNAcentral
UACAGAGACUGCAAGCGUUAUUCGGAUUCACUGGGCGUAAAGGGUGCGCAGGCGGCCGAGUGUGUGAGGCGUGAAAGCCCGGGGCUUAACCCCGGAAUUGCACCUCAAACUAUACGGCUAGAGCAUUGGAGAGGGUAGCAGAAUUCAUGGUGUAGCAGUGAAAUGCGUAGAUAUCAUGAGGAAUACCAGAGGCGAAGGCGGCUACCUGGACAAUUGCUGACGCUCAGGCACGAAAGCGUGGGGAGCAAAAGGG